Molecule: ribosomal RNA, 411 nt
Filed under: uncultured microorganism
Description: bacterial SSU rRNA
Rfam family: Bacterial small subunit ribosomal RNA
Source: RNAcentral
GAGUUUGAUCCUGGCUCAGAUCGAACGCUGGCGGCAUGCCUUACACAUGCAAGUCGAACGGCAGCAUGAUCUAGCUUGCUAGAUUGAUGGCGAGUGGCGAACGGGUGAGUAAUACAUCGGAACGUGCCCUGUAGUGGGGGAUAACUAGUCGAAAGAUUAGCUAAUACCGCAUACGACCUGAGGGUGAAAGUGGGGGACCGCAAGGCCUCAUGCUAUAGGAGCGGCCGAUGUCUGAUUAGCUAGUUGGUGGGGUAAAGGCCCACCAAGGCGACGAUCAGUAGCUGGUCUGAGAGGACGAUCAGCCACACUGGGACUGAGACACGGCCCAGACUCCUACGGGAGGCAGCAGUGGGGAAUUUUGGACAAUGGGCGAAAGCCUGAUCCAGCAAUGCCGCGUGUGUGAAGAAGGCC